AUUGAACGCUGGCGGCGUGCUUAACACAUGCAAGUCGAGCGGCAGCGGGCCCGCAAGGGUGCCGGCGAGCGGCGGACGGGUGAGCAAUACAUAGGAAUCUGCCUCAGAGCGGGGAUAGCCAGGGGAAACCCUGAUUAAUACCGCAUGACGUCGAGAGACCAAAGUGGGGGACCGUAAGGCCCCACACUCUGGAGAUGAGCCUAUGUCGGAUUAGCUAGNGGCGGGUAACGGCCCACCAAGGCGACGAUCCGUAGCUGGUCUGAGAGGACGAUCAGCCACACCGGAACUGAGACACGGUCCGGACUCCUACGGGGAGCAGCAGUGGGGAAUAUUGGGACAAUGGGCGAAAGCCUGAUCCAGCGACGCCGCGU
RNAcentral lists this ribosomal RNA (371 nucleotides) under uncultured bacterium. Its description in RNAcentral is "bacterial SSU rRNA". It matches the Rfam family "Bacterial small subunit ribosomal RNA", at positions 29 to 402 of the family's 1533-position model. The record is from RNAcentral.